GGAAUGCUGGGAGUACAGUUGCAACUGGUACAAAUGACUCUUUACUGGAAUUGGUGCUCAAAUUGAAAAUACCACAAAGGAGGAUGAGGCAGGGAAGAUUCACGCUAUGCCAAAAGUAACUUUUUUUUUUUUUUUUUAAUGGAAAGCCUUGGUUGGGAAUUCAUUCUGAUUACAUGAAACUCAUCCGAUUACUUGAUUCAGACUCAGUCAAGUCUAUACCAGGACCUGCACCUGCCAACAAGAAUGUAAGUCUGUCUACAUCACUCUCUACUACAGUGUGUCUUAAUAGCAAUAUGAUGUGAGCCACAUACGCAAUCUAUGGUUCUCCAGCAGUCACAUUACAAAAGCAAAAAGAUACAGUUUGCAAAUGGGAAGAAGACAUAGAUACUGAUAAGAAGACACCAGUUACUGGUGUGAAAGACAAUAGGUAAGGUUGUGGGGACAGAACCCUGAGAACUGGUGACCAGUGUGGACAGCACUACUCUGUUGCAUUAGCUAAUUGAGCUGGUUCAGCCACUGGAUUCCAACCUGCUAACCAGGAGAGGGAAAAUGCCCUCUCCUAAUUACAGGAUUGCCACAUACUAGCUGCAUGACCCGCUGUUUGUUAUUUCACCUGGGUGAAAAUUUCUUAUCAGUAAAAUGGGAAUAGUCAUAUAACCACCUCUCAUGCUUGUGAACAGCUAAUGAGCUCUGCAGAUGAUUUGAAACACUCUUACUUCAAUUUGAGUCGCUCCCAUUUGGGACUUCCUCAGUCUCCAACCAAAACCAGGAUGAUGGCAUCUGGUGAAAUGCAGGAAUAGUUUUAGAUGAAUUCUUCCAGUUGCAUGAUGGUUUUUCCCUAAAGUGACCACCAUGAACUAACUCUGCCCACAUGUCUGGGACCACCCAUUCCAAUCCUUGAGCAGUGCUUGCAUAUCCUGUUCCUCAUGUUGAAGAGCGAAGAAUGUUCAUUGCUUUGCAAGAUAGGGAGUAUAGAACUUUUCUGUCACACACACACAGUCUACGGAAGUUACCACGCUUUGCCCUGAAUUGUUAAUUGCUUUUGUGCACCGUGUGGCACUAGCCAUCUGGGAGAUCUCUUUAUGACUGAGCUCUCAGCUUCUUUCCCUCACAGUGGGUGCUUGUGAAGCUUUAUCUGGUCAGUUCUUACAGGAAGGACAUGCCUUAUACUCUGACAA
Molecule: long non-coding RNA, 1178 nt
Organism: Canis lupus familiaris (dog)
Lineage: Eukaryota; Metazoa; Chordata; Mammalia; Carnivora; Canidae
Exons: 5
Source: RefSeq, a predicted model, not a curated record